RNAcentral lists this ribosomal RNA (550 nucleotides) under uncultured bacterium. RNAcentral's name for it is "bacterial SSU rRNA". It matches the Rfam family "Bacterial small subunit ribosomal RNA", at positions 355 to 896 of the family's 1533-position model. The record is from RNAcentral.
UAGGGAAUCUUCGGCAAUGGACGGAAGUCUGACCGAGCAACGCCGCGUGAGUGAAGAAGGUUUUCGGAUCGUAAAGCUCUGUUGUAAGAGAAGAACGAGUGUGAGAGUGGAAGGUUCACACUGUGACGGUAUCUUACCAGAAAGGGACGGCUAACUACGUGCCAGCAGCCGCGGUAAUACGUAGGUCCCGAGCGUUGUCCGGAUUUAUUGGGCGUAAAGCGAGCGCAGGCGGUUAGAUAAGUCUGAAGUUAAAGGCUGUGGCUUAACCAUAGUAGGCUUUGGAAACUGUUUAACUUGAGUGCAAGAGGGGAGAGUGGAAUUCCAUGUGUAGCGGUGAAAUGCGUAGAUAUAUGGAGGAACACCGGUGGCGAAAGCGGCUCUCUGGCUUGUAACUGACGCUGAGGCUCGAAAGCGUGGGGAGCAAACAGGAUUAGAUACCCUGGUAGUCCACGCUGUAAACGAUGAGCGCUAGGUGUUAGACCCUUUCCGGGGUUUAGUGCCGUAGCUAACGCAUUAAGCACUCCGCCUGGGGAGUACGACCGCAAGGUUG